UUUUGUAUGGACCUUGAACAAAAUUUCCACAAUCUAAACACUGGACAUCCGAGAGACAGACGCACUUGAAAGAGACAUUUGAGACAAAGCAGAGUGACCAUUCCAACACUGACAGGAAGAUGUGUCGCUCACUGCUCUUCCUGCUGCUCAUCGCUGGAGCUCUGCUGAUCUCUACUGAGGGUCAGCAGGAUUAUCACACGCUCACUGAUGUACACAAGGAUGCUGUUGACAAGGCAAUUCAACACUGCAAUGAAAAAUCCUCAAAGCAUGUUAAUUUCCUUGGCUUCCUUCCUGAUUCAGAGAAAUCUGAUCCAUUUUACAUUGAGCUUCACUUGAAAGUCACCACCUGCACAAAAACAGGAAAGACCACACAUCGAGAUGACUGCCCAUUUAUGAACCGAAGGCCAAAAAUCAACUGUGCUGUUUGCAAUAACGGGAUUAAGUCCGGCCCCGGCAUUCACUGCGUUACGCAACUGCAACUAAAUCAGUCCAUGGAAGAGCGGAAGAAAGUGUGCCCAAUUCACGUCUUCGGGGCAGGCAGUGUAAACACACUGAAGAAACAGGAAAAACCACCUGCUGAGUGUCUAGGGUGCUUCUGAAUGUCCCGGCGAGUUUGGGCUGUCCGAUCCCCAAAUUCAGUGCAAUGAAGGCUCUGUGACAGUUUCAUGUCCGAAAUACUGUGCUGUAUUCUAUUCCCUCCUUUGGCAGAAUGUACUCAAAUUGCUUUAUUUGUAUAGCACCUUUCAUACAGAAUGCUGCUGAAAGUGCUUAGCAGGACUAAUGAAACCAAGGAAGACAGAGAAUAACACAAUGAUAAUAGUCGAUUAUACAAAUUAAAAUAAUAAAACUAAAUAAAGAGGGAAUCAAAUAAAAUCUUUUCAAAAGACCUGCUUGCAUGCAGUGAUUACACAUCUAUUCCAUGUAGAAACUUUGACUGUUGGAACUUGGAACUUGGACUGUUGAAGGUUUGACUGUUGGAACUUCAAAUAUGUACAGAUUACAGUGUUUACCACAGGAAGUUAAUCUUCGGAUUUGGGGGGGCAAGCAAACACAUUUUUGUUUUUCCGAAGGAGGGAAACAAAUUUUUACUUGCUCAAGUCAUUCAUGAAUUUUUGAUACUCUGUGCAAUAUGUGAUGCCCACUAAAAUGUGAUCACAUUAGUGAUGUUAUUUUUGCGAGCUUAUAAUUUUAUUUUCCAGGUAAAAUCUGUCUAUUUGUUUCACGAUAAUGAUUUUACCUAAAUUGCCUGUAAUAGCAAUUGCACGACACCAGAUGACAUGGUUGAGUCUAGGUAUUGGACUUGCGAGGGCUCGCCAUAACUUUGAGAGACUUCGUGAAUACAGUUCACGUCUAACGGACUCUUCAUUUUUGUGACUGUUUUCCAGGUUAGUAAAGUGUCACAAGCACCAUGUAUUGUGUAAUUCAGUUUUAUAAAAUCAGUAUAGAGUUUGAUUUACGUUUGUCAGAUUGGUGAAUGUCCAGUUUGUCUAGUUUGGUGUAAAUUAGCUAAUGUAGGCUAACUAAGACGUGAGAAGUUAGCUAACGUUAGGCAGUAAUGUUAUGAAUGCUCCGAACGCUAGCUAACUAUAUAACUUAUUUGAAUUAAUUUUACCGUUACUAAGCAAAGUUAACGUUAGCCCUACGUUAGUUUCCUGUGAAAUUUGGAAAGUUAGCGAACAUUGCUUGUUUUCCUGUUUGGGGCGAAAUUCGGUAAUGUUAGCUACCAAGGGCAUAUGCUCAUAUUCGUUUGGAUAUCAAUUCAGUUACUGAUGUAAAGUUAGCCCAGAUUGGCACUGCCGCUAUUCUAGCUAACAUUAACGUACUCUGUUCUCCAAUUAACGCUAUGUGCCGUUGUUGUAGAGACAACGGGAUUCAGCACUCGGCGCUUUGAUAGCUUUGUAUCCUGUCCUGUAAAUGGCUCCACGUAUCCCAUUCCUUUUAAUUUUAUAUUUUUGGCUGGCUCAAUAGUUUCAAGUUUAAUGAAACGGUUCAAUUGUUUAAACUAUAGAAUAAUAUGCAAGUUAAUUAUUCAUCACUGUGAUGCAUGUCCGAGGAUACUGGGAAGUAUGUAAAGUGCAUUGAGGAUGCUGAUGCAGAAUAUAAACAUGUUUAGGAAUGACCAUUUAUUUUGAGUGUCUAUAAACAAGUUCUAAAUGUCUAGUGAAUAGAGAUAUGGAAAGUGUAUGGGGAAGAUACUGUUUUUGAUAGUGACCAUUGUAUUUUGAGUGUUCUAUGAACAAGAUAUAAAUGUCAAAGAGACAGACAAUGGUUAUAUCUGUACAGCAGUACAAGUGACUCUAUUAAAGGGACAGUGCAGGCAGGGGUGAUAAUUCUAAUACUUGUGAUAAUUGUAAUAAUUGUGAGAAUUGUAAAUAAAGAUAACUUUGAGAGACUUCGUGAAAACAGGUCACAUCUAACUGACUUCAUUUUUGUGACUGUUUUCCAGAUAUUUAAAAAUAUCACUGUCUAUGCGUACCAAGCCCGGUACGUGUAUCAAAUACAGAACAUAAACAUGCACACAAAAUAAAUAAAUAGAAAAUUGAU
Conger conger (European conger) is the source of this 2544-nucleotide long non-coding RNA. RefSeq lists it as uncharacterized. The transcript is spliced from 4 exons. The record is from RefSeq and is a predicted model, not a curated record. Lineage: Eukaryota; Metazoa; Chordata; Actinopteri; Anguilliformes; Congridae.